UAGGGAAUCUUCGGCAAUGGACGAAAGUCUGACCGAGCAACGCCGCGUGAGUGAAGAAGGUUUUCGGAUCGUAAAACUCUGUUGUUAGAGAAGAACAAGGACGUUAGUAACUGAACGUCCCCUGACGGUAUCUAACCAGAAAGCCACGGCUAACUACGUGCCAGCAGCCGCGGUAAUACGUAGGUGGCAAGCGUUGUCCGGAUUUAUUGGGCGUAAAGCGAGCGCAGGCGGUUUCUUAAGUCUGAUGUGAAAGCCCCCGGCUCAACCGGGGAGGGUAAUUGGAAACGGGAGACUUGAGUGCAGAAGAGGAGAGUGGAAUUCCAUGUGUAGCGGUGAAAUGCGUAGAUAUAUGGAGGAAAACCAGUGGCGAAGGCGGCUCUCUGGUCUGUAACUGACGCUGAGGCUCGAAAGCGUGGGGAGCAAACAGG
Molecule: ribosomal RNA, 428 nt
Filed under: Gemmatimonadota bacterium
Lineage: Bacteria; Pseudomonadati; Gemmatimonadota
Description: Gemmatimonadetes bacterium partial 16S ribosomal RNA
Rfam family: Bacterial small subunit ribosomal RNA
Source: RNAcentral